Molecule: ribosomal RNA, 1328 nt
Filed under: human gut metagenome
Description: bacterial LSU rRNA
Rfam family: Bacterial large subunit ribosomal RNA
Source: RNAcentral
GCUUAGAAGCAGCCACUCAUUAAAAGAGUGCGUAAUAGCUCACUGGUCGAGUGACUCUGCGCCGAAAAUUUAACGGGGCUAAACUAUACACCGAAGCUUGGGAUACAUCUAAUGUAUGGUAGGAGAGCGUUCUGUAUGGGGAGAAGUCGUAGCGAAAGCGGCGGUGGACUAUACAGAAGUGAGAAUGCCGGAAUAAGUAGCGAGAAUUAAGUGAGAAUCUUAAUGGCCGAAAGUCUAAGGUUUUUGGAGGAAGGUUCGUCCGCUCCAAGUAAGUCGGGAGCUAAGGUCAGGCCGAAAGGCGUAGCCGAUGCACAUACGGUUGAUAUUCCGUAACCAUCUGUAAUUUAAGCAAAGGGACACUUCAAAAGGGUGUGACCCGGGCGUUGGUUGACCCGGGCGUAAGGGACCGAAAUUAGAGUAGGGAAGCACACUUAGCUGAAGGCGAGAAAAGCUUUGCGUAUAGAAACAGAUGCCCGUACCGCAAACCGACACAGGUGGACAGGAAGAGAAUUCUAAGGCCAGCGGGAGAAGGGUAGUUAAGGAACUCGGCAAAUUGACUCCGUAACUUCGGAAUAAGGAGUGCUCGAAAGAGCCGCAGAGAAUAGGCCCAGGCGACUGUUUAGCAAAAACACAGGUCUCUGCCAAAUCGAAAGAUGAAGUAUAGGGGCUGACACCUGCCCGGUGCCGGAAGGUUAAGAGGAGGAGUGAGAGCUCCGAAUUGAAGCCCCGGUAAACGGCGGCCGUAACUAUAACGGUCCUAAGGUAGCGAAAUUCCUUGUCGGGUAAGUUCCGACCCGCACGAAUGGUGUAACGAUCUGGGCACUGUCUCAACUACCCACCCGGCGAAAUUGUAGUACCGGUGAAGAUGCCGGUUACCUGCGGCAAGACGGAAAGACCCCAUGGAGCUUUACUGUAGCCUGAUAUUGGGUUUCGGAAAUCUAUGUACAGGAUAGGCGGGAGACUGGGAAACAUGAGCGUCAGCUUGUGUGGAGUCGAUGUUGGGAUACCGCCCUUAGGUUUCUGGAAUUCUAACCUGCGGCCGUGAAACCGGUCGGGGGACAUUGUCAGGUGGGCAGUUUGACUGGGGCGGUCGCCUCCGAAAAGGUAACGGAGGCGCUCAAAGGUUAGCUCAGCACGGACGGAAACCGUGCCUCUGAGUGUAAACGCAAAAGCUAGCCUAACUGCGAGGGUGACGGCCCGAGCAGUAACGAAAGUUGGAGUUAGUGAUCCGGCGGUAUGUGAAUGGAAAUGCCGUCGCUCAACGGAUAAAAGCUACCCUGGGGAUAACAGGCUGAUCUCCCCCAAGAGUCCACAUCGACGGGGAGGUU